Long non-coding RNA from Peromyscus leucopus (white-footed mouse), 1125 nucleotides. RefSeq lists it as uncharacterized. The record is from RefSeq and is a predicted model, not a curated record. Lineage: Eukaryota; Metazoa; Chordata; Mammalia; Rodentia; Cricetidae. The transcript has 3 exons.
GCAUGAUCCAGGCCAUGACCCCCAGAAGCUUCUCUCCAAAAGUCUGCGAAAGAAAACAAGAAGUGAGCGGUGGCGAGAGAGAGAGGGCCCUGAGAUACGCUGGGUACAAGGCCAGGUGUCCCAUACCCAGAAACCCAGGCGGCGGCAGCAGUGAUGAAUCAGGGGUGAAGGAGAGAGACUUAUAAAAAGAAGACUAGAAAACAAACCCCACGUGGCUUAGGGAUGGGUAAGGAUUCCAAGCUAGACCCCGAAUUCUGCACACCUGGAAUACAGCGACUUCAGGAGAGCCACAUGGAGAUGGGGACCAGGGGCUCUAUAGCUCAAAAUGUAACGGUUUCUAUCCACCCCAUCGCCUGUCCACACAGGGUCUGCCCGGGCCAGGCACACCGGUACGUGGACGAAUCGAGAGACAACUGAAAGCUAGACAGUAUGGUACAAGCCAGUAAUCCCAGCCCUCAGGAGGCUGAGGUUGGAGGGCUGACCUGAGUUUGAGGCCAGCCUUGGCAACUACAGAGACUUUGCCUUAACUACCCCUCUCAACACCCGCCCCCAAAUCCAAAAGAAAACAGAAAAGGUAAGCACGAAACAAUGUGUUGAGGGCAGAGCCAGCCAGAGAGUCAGCGAGCAUCUAUAUACGUGGGGCCCAGGCCAGGGCGUCGUGGGGAAGGGGCCCCAGCAAUGUCAACUUCAUAGCUUCGGUCCCGCUAGAAAAAGGAAUGGAAAACUCUAGUUCUUGUCCAUGGUAACCUAUUCCCAGCGGUCGCUGGUCUCUGGAGUUCUGUGGAACUCCAAGCUUAUCUGAUUCUCUUGGGUAUUUUUUGUUUUGUUUUGUUUCCUGAAUUAAAAAAAUACCAAAGGAAAAAGAUGAAAACACCACCAAGAAGACCCUGCUGAGCUAGUGAGUCUUGAGUUCAAGGCCAGCUCGUGUGACUUAACUCCCUCUCUGAGAGGGAGGGAGAAAGGAAGAGAGAGAGGUGGGGGAGGGAGAAAGGGAGUCUCUAGACCAGUGGUUCUCAACCUUCCUCAUGCCUCGACCCUUUAACAUGGUUCCUCAUGCUCUGGUGACCCCCCCCACACACACACCCACACCAUAAAAUUAUUUUCGUUGCUACUUCAUAACUGCAA